This 254-nucleotide ribosomal RNA is filed under the name uncultured bacterium. RNAcentral describes it as "partial 16S ribosomal RNA". It matches the Rfam family "Bacterial small subunit ribosomal RNA", at positions 524 to 776 of the family's 1533-position model. The record is from RNAcentral.
UACGUAGGGGGCAAGCGUUGUCCGGAAUUAUUGGGCGUAAAGGGCGCGUAGGCGGCCUCCGCAAGUCAGUUGUGAAAUCUCCGAGCUUAACUCGGAAAGGUCAACUGAUACUGCGGGGCUAGAGUGCGGAAGGGGCAACUGGAAUUCUUGGUGUAGCGGUGAAAUGCGUAGAUAUCAAGAGGAACACCUGCGGCGAAGGCGGGUUGCUGGGCCGACACUGACGCUGAGGCGCGAAAGCUAGGGGAGCGAACGGG